Molecule: long non-coding RNA, 357 nt
Organism: Homalodisca vitripennis (glassy-winged sharpshooter)
Lineage: Eukaryota; Metazoa; Arthropoda; Insecta; Hemiptera; Cicadellidae
Exons: 2
Source: RefSeq, a predicted model, not a curated record
CACAAUAAACAUAGAUGUUUCAGAUCUGUUCAUUCCCAGCACAACAGUUGCAUCGUUCUGAACCCAACAAACAGGAAAUAAAGAAGAAAAUGUGAAGUACCCAAUGAGGUCAGUGUCAGUGAAUGGCUUAGACUGGAAGAAGCGAGGGGGCACUGGUGGAGCUGCAGAACUGGUGCCGUUGUUCAGACUGGGGAUGCUCAGAUUCAACAGCAGCAUGGAUCCUGCAAGAAUCAUUUCUUUGUAAUAUUUUGAGAAGUAUUUACAUCAUUGGUUGUAAGGAGUGAUGGUCAAUAGGUUAGGCCAUUAGAACGUUAACGCUAAGUUUGUGUUAGAAAAUAAAAUUAAUGCAGGUUCAAA